UAAUAUUAAUUCAUAUUAAUAUCUAGUCUUUUACACUUGCACCUCAAGAAAAUUAAGACAACUGUCUGAAAAUUCCACACUCUGGAUUCUCUCUCAUGCAGUUUCCUUUGCACAAAACAAAAGCAAUCUCUAUUUACAAAGGACAUCAACUAAGGGAAGAAAAAAAAGGAAAAAAACACCCUUUCUCAACCAUAAUUGUAACUCAAUCAGAUUCUGCAGAAUGAAGUAUGAAACUGAGGGCAACCACAGAGAUUAUGCUGAAUCACAUAGAGGAAGAUUGGAAUCCAGGAAGAAACUGAGGCCAAUAAGGCUUGUAAGAUUGCCAAGCAAGAGAUCAUCGACCAGAGGAGUGAGAAUGAGACCCCAAUAUGAUAAUCUCUCCAUUGUCUCAUCUAUUGGCACAGAAAGUUUAGAACUGGCUGAUGCAUCACCCAAUUACAUGAAGGCCACCAGCAGUUCUCAUGCAAAGGAUAGUCUUGAGAAUGCACAAAGACUAUUCACAAAGAAGACUUUCACAAGAAUGUCCACUUUGAAACUGAAGAGGAGCCUGACCAGGAAGUUAUCUCGAAGGACUGAACCAAUGAGGAAGCUAAAGUCCUCAAGAUCAAUCAAGCUUGCAACUGUCAAGGGCCAAAAAUCAUCAAGGAAGCUACAUGAAUCUAGUUAUGGAAGUGAAGACCAGAAUUGGAGAAUUACUAGUGAUGCUGGUAACAAACCCCAGAGAGUCAUUACCAGAAGGUUAAGCUUGAAGCCUGUGAGGAUCUUAGCAAAGAUGGCCACUUUCAAAUCAAGGAAUUCUUCUAUUGAGAGAGGCAAUCAGAUAUCUGAAUCCCCAGACAGAAGCUUGCUUAGAGCCACUUGUUCUUCUGCUCUCAAGGAUUCCCAUUUUCCUGAUCACAUUGACCUCCCUCAAGAGGGAAGUGACUCUCAAGGAGUGUCAUCUGUGAAGGUUUGUCCAUAUUCUUAUUGCUCUCUUCAUGGUCACCGCCAUGGCGAUCAGCCUCCUUUGAAGCGAUUUGUGUCGAUUAGGAGGCGUGUGUUGAAGAGCCAAAAGCCAACGAAAAUGGAUCGUCAGCCCUUUACUAAAUCAAAGCAAAUUGGUAAUGCAAGGAAAUCUUCUCAGAAGACUCAAACUGUCCACAGUGGAGAUGGCAGAUCUCAUUUUCAGAACAAGAAAAAGCUGGUCAGGGACUCAUGUAUUAGGCCUCAUAGCACUCCAGCAUCCACAGUUACUGAAGGCGUAGAAUCAACAUCAACAGAUGUAGACGAGUUUUCUGCUUCUGGUUUUGAGAUAUUGGAGGGAGGAGUAACCAACACUGGCAACACAGGCAAAAAUAUGGAGACAGAUUAUGAAGUAUUGAAGAUGAGUUCUGUGCAGAAAGAGGCUACACAUGCUAGCACUACUGAUAUGACUAGUGGAAUACAGGAAAGAGAACGAAAGUAUAUAAAAAUGUGGCAGUUGAUGUAUAAGCAUGCUGUGUUAAGUAACACUGGUGAAUGUGAAAAUAAGCUUCCCUUUGAUGGGAAGAAGGAAGGAAGAGAGCAAGAUUCCCUUGCAAUUAAUGAAGUGAAUAACUCUUCUUGUCAUGAUGAUUGCCAUACGGAUCAGGAUAUGGAUGAUGCAAAUAAGAAUGCGAUUGAGCUGGUGCAGAAAGCAUUUGAUGAAAUUCUUCUCCCAGAGCCUGAAGACCUCUUUUCUGAUGAUCAUGUCAAAUCUGAAGGCAAUGAUUCAGAUGAGGUACCCUUAGAAGAGAGUGAAGGUCGGAGAGAAAUGAAUACCUCAACAUCCACAGAAUCUCCAAAAGCACAGAGCAUGGAGAACAAACCAGACCAAAAAACACCAAAAAGCUGGAGCAAUUUGAAAAAGUUGAUCCUCUUGAGAAGGUUUGUAAAGGCAUUAGAUAAGGUAAGAAACAUCAAUCCUCAAAGACCAAAACGUGUUCCUUCUGAUGCUAACUUGGAAAUGGAAAAAGUUUCUCUCAAGCACCAAACAGCAGAAGAGAAAAAGAAUGCUGAGGAAUGGAUGCUCGACUAUGCACUUCAAAAGGUUAUUUCUAAACUUGCACCUGCUCAAAGACAAAGAGUGACACUUCUAGUAGAAGCUUUUGAAAAAAUUCUGCCAUUUCAAGAUGCUGAGAAUGGUCCACGGUUUUCUGCGAUGAUGAAAUCUCUAGCAAACCCAAUUCAACCUCUUGAUUAUUCCUCAAACUAUAGCAAGGAAGAGGCAUCAUUUUCUCAUGAUAGUACUAUGGAACUGGCAGAUAAUGCUGGUGAUGAUCCAAUGUUAGAACUGCACGAUGCUACUAUCAAAGAAAGAUAUCUUGAUGAUCCUGGGAUGCAGACAAUCAAAGUCAAGAACAUGCCUGCAUUUGGAGCUUCCGAAGAAGACUUGAAUGGAAAGCAAAGUAUAGUUGGCAGUUAUGGUAAUGGGGAGAAGAUAUCAACCGCCAAUGACAAUAUUUAUCUAGGAGAGAUCAAAGAUACUACAUCAAGUUCCUUAAAUGAGCCAGAUGAAAUUAUAAGCUGUCAUGAGGAGGCUCCAACCAAUGAAAUAGUCACUGAUGUUUCAGAAGAUUUGCUAUCCAAUGAAAUAGUCAUAGAAAAUCCACUCAUCAAAUCCGAGCCACCUGGAAGAGAUGUUGAAACCAAGAAUCUGAUUGAUGAAAAUGGGGAACAAUUUUCCAUGUCCAAAAGUUUAAUCCUAGAAGGUCUAGUUAGAUCACUCAGAUCUAAUUUGAUUGGUUCAGAAGCACCUGCAAAUGAACCAACAACCGACAGAAAAGAAGGAAUUGAAAAUGUUAAGCCAGAAAGUGAGACUCUUGAAGAGUUCCCUACAAAGGAACAAUCUAAAGCUCCUAUGAGUGCUGUUGUAGAACCUGAGGCCUCUGUAGAGAAACAAAGCAACACAGGAUUGUGGUACUUGGUGUAUAAGCACAUGGUAUCAAAUAUGGCUGAAAACAAUUCCAAUUCACAAAUUGAUGGGGCAGAUGAGAAAGAGUCAGGGAUUGAUGGCAACAGAACUAGGGGAACUUCCACCUCUAAUGAAAGUACACCCACAACUCAUCAAGAUAUGCAAUUCGAGGACCAUCUUGUAGCUGAUCCAGAAGUUGAACAAAAAAAGAGUGAAGCCAUCAAGAUGGUAGAAGAAGCAAUUGAUUCAAUCCUUCCAGAUGAUCAGAAUUACUUAGCAGACAAGAAGUCACUCACAGGCAACACAAUUUCAGACAACUUCAAACAAUCCAGCCGAAUUGAAAGGGUGUAUGGUGAAGGCCUGAACCAAAAAGAAGAAACGAUGGAAUCUGGAAAUGGAGUAAUCCAAGAACAAGAAGAAGAAUCAACACCAAAGGAGCAAAAAAAACCAAACCAGCAAUUGCCAAGAAGCUGGAGCAAUCUUAAAAAGGUGAUCCUGCUUAGGAGAUUCAUCAAGUCAUUGGAAAAAGUAAGAAAGUUCAACCCAAGAGGCCCCAGAUAUCUGCCUGUAGAGCCUGAUUCAGAAGCCGAGAAAGUUAACUUAAGGCAUCAAGACAUGGAAGAAAGAAAAGGCACCGAAGAAUGGAUGCUUGAUUAUGCACUUCGACAGGUUGUUUCCAAAUUAACCCCGGCUAGGAAAAGAAAAGUUGAGCUGCUAGUAGAAGCUUUUGAAACUGUCAUGCCAACUAUAAAAAAUUGAAACUGGCUAAAGAGUUGGAUAGCUUUGCAUGCAAAAUCAAUUCAAGCAAAACAAGAUGAAAGGUUAACAAGGAGAUAUGUAUGAUCAUAAUCCUUUGGGAUGUCUGCAAUUUUUUGUUGGUGAAAACUUUGUGUCAGAGCUCGUAUAGUUUGAUAGUCUCUUAGGAAGAAACUUAACGAGUAUAGAAUGUUUCAUGAUUCAGCAAAAACAAAUAUUCAAUACAGUGUAUAUUUUUCAUUCAUAUUACUCUUGGGGUUCUCAGGUGGAUGUUUUGUAUGAAAGACCUUUGUGUAUCUUUGGUAUGGAACACAUUAGAAUGGCCUGAUUCGUAUUGCAUAUU
Molecule: RNA transcript, 4010 nt
Organism: Cajanus cajan (pigeon pea)
Lineage: Eukaryota; Viridiplantae; Streptophyta; Magnoliopsida; Fabales; Fabaceae
Gene name: calmodulin binding protein PICBP
Source: RefSeq, a predicted model, not a curated record